CCUACGGGAGGCAGCAGUGGGGAAUAUUGCACAAUGGGGGAAACCCUGAUGCAGCGACGCCGCGUGAGUGAAGAAGUAUUUCGGUAUGUAAAGCUCUAUCAGCAGGGAAGAAAAUGACGGUACCUGACUAAGAAGCCCCGGCUAACUACGUGCCAGCAGCCGCGGUAAUACGUAGGGGGCAAGCGUUAUCCGGAUUUACUGGGUGUAAAGGGAGCGUAGACGGCAGCAUAAGUCUGGAGUGAAAUGCCGGGGCUUAACCCCGGAACUGCUUUGGAAACUGUGCAGCUAGAGUGCAGGAGGGGUAAGCGGAAUUCCUGGUGUAGCGGUGAAAUGCGUAGAUAUUAGGAGGAACACCAGUGGCGAAGGCGGCUUGCUGGACUGUAACUGACGUUGAGGCUCGAAAGCGUGGGGAGCAAACAGGAUUAGAUACCCGUGUAGUC
Molecule: ribosomal RNA, 440 nt
Filed under: uncultured bacterium
Lineage: Bacteria
Description: partial 16S ribosomal RNA
Rfam family: Bacterial small subunit ribosomal RNA
Source: RNAcentral